This 509-nucleotide ribosomal RNA is filed under the name Sphingomonas sp. RNAcentral describes it as "bacterial SSU rRNA". It matches the Rfam family "Bacterial small subunit ribosomal RNA", at positions 132 to 675 of the family's 1533-position model. The record is from RNAcentral. Lineage: Bacteria; Pseudomonadati; Pseudomonadota; Alphaproteobacteria; Sphingomonadales; Sphingomonadaceae.
UUGGGUUCGGAAUAACUCUCCGAAAGGAGUGCUAAUAUCGGAUGAUGUCGAAAGACCAAAGAUUUAUCGCCCAGGGAUGAGCCCGCGUAGGAUUAGCUAGUUGGUGAGGUAAAGGCUCACCAAGGCGACGAUCCUUAGCUGGUCUGAGAGGAUGAUCAGCCACACUGGGACUGAGACACGGCCCAGACUCCUACGGGAGGCAGCAGUGGGGAAUAUUGGACAAUGGGCGAAAGCCUGAUCCAGCAAUGCCGCGUGAGUGAUGAAGGCCUUAGGGUUGUAAAGCUCUUUUACCCGGGAUGAUAAUGACAGUACCGGGAGAAUAAGCCCCGGCUAACUCCGUGCCAGCAGCCGCGGUAAUACGGAGGGGGCUAGCGUUGUUCGGAAUUACUGGGCGUAAAGCGCACGUAGGCGGCUUUGUAAGUUAGAGGUGAAAGCCUGGAGCUCAACUCCAGAACUGCCUUUAAGACUGCAUCGCUUGAAUCCAGGAGAGGUGAGUGGAAUUCCGAGUG